GUGCACCAGGCGAGAAACUUCGCAAUGCGCGAAAGCGCGACGAGGGGAUUCCAAGUGCAUGCACUAAGUGUAUGCUUUUCGUGAGUUUAAAACGCUCACGGAAUAAGGGCUGGGUAAGACUGGUGCCAGCCGCCGCGGUAAUACCAGCGGCCCUAGUGGUGAUCGUUAUUAUUGGGCCUAAAGCGUCCGUAGCCGGUCCGGUAAAUCUCUGGGUAAAUCGUUGGGCUUAACUCAGCGAAUUCUGGGGAGACUGCUGGACUUGGGACCGGGAGAGGUCGGAGGUACUCCAGGGGUAGGGGUGAAAUCCUGUAAUCCUUGGGGGACCACCGGUGGCGAAGGCGUCCGACCAGAACGGGUCCGACGGUAAGGGACGAAGCCCUGGGGCGCGAACCGGAUUAGAUACCCCUGUAGU
Molecule: ribosomal RNA, 412 nt
Filed under: uncultured microorganism
Description: bacterial SSU rRNA
Rfam family: Archaeal small subunit ribosomal RNA
Source: RNAcentral